GAUGAUAUGAGCUGCAUUUAAAUUAAACAACAGACAGCACAUCAAGCACCGAGAACACCACAUUACCCCUUGAAGUGACAAGAGGUUUAAAAAGAUUGAUGCCUUUGAGCAUGGCAAGUUGGGUUCGUUACACAAGAACAACAUUUAAGAUGUGGCUACUGACAGUAGCUAGCUAUUCUCUAAGAAAAGUAGGACUCAAACUGGCCACUGUUUGGAUGGGAGACCUGAGAAGUAAACCAAAGCACUACAGGAAAAGAAGGACAACACUUCCUUGCACGAUGCAGAAGGACAACACUUGGUCAUUUGAUUUGUAGUUUAUCCAGCCAUCAAUCUCUCUGGAGAUACCACAUCAAAAGAUGUGCUUUUUGGUUAGAUUGGCUAAAAAACCCCUGCUCUGCUGCCAAGAAAGAAUAAAAACAGCUUCUCUCACCAGGAAGCAGAGCAAAGGUUUCUUUGAAAGCAAAGGAAUAAUCCCUGAAAUUGCUCAAGUGGGUAGAAAUGUGAUGUAAUUUAUGUAAUAAAGAUAAUUUGAGAGUUUGCCUCUUCUUUGGAGACUGAUCAGGAACUGUGUUUCAUUGCGAGUCUGCAUUAGAUGAAUAAUUAGCUAUAAAUAUAAAAGAGUGACCACUAACUAGACAGAGUUCAGACUAACUAAAAUUUGCAGUAAAUAAACUUUCAAAGAAGUCUGAUUUACAGGUUAAAACAACAAUUUAAG
Long non-coding RNA from Gopherus flavomarginatus (Mexican gopher tortoise), 715 nucleotides. RefSeq lists it as uncharacterized. The transcript is spliced from 3 exons. Lineage: Eukaryota; Metazoa; Chordata; Testudines; Testudinidae. The record is from RefSeq and is a predicted model, not a curated record.